AAAAAUGCACACAUUGUGAGCUCGAUGAGUAGGGCGGGACACGUGGUAUCCUGUCUGAAUAUGGGGGGACCAUCCUCCAAGGCUAAAUACUCCUGACUGACCGAUAGUGAACCAGUACCGUGAGGGAAAGGCGAAAAGAACCCCGGCGAGGGGAGUGAAAAAGAACCUGAAACCGUGUACGUACAAGCAGUGGGAGCCUCUUAAUGGGGUGACUGCGUACCUUUUGUAUAAUGGGUCAGCGACUUAUAUUCUGUAGCAAGGUUAACCGAAUAGGGGAGCCGAAGGGAAACCGAGUCUUAACUGGGCGUUAAGUUGCAGGGUAUAGACCCGAAACCCGGUGAUCUAGCCAUGGGCAGGUUGAAGGUUGGGUAACACUAACUGGAGGACCGAACCGACUAAUGUUGAAAAAUUAGCGGAUGACUUGUGGCUGGGGGUGAAAGGCCAAUCAAACCGGGAGAUAGCUGGUUCUCCCCGAAAGCUAUUUAGGUAGCGCCUCGUGAAUUCAUCUCCGGGGGUAGAGCACUGUUUCGGCAAGGGGGUCAUCCCGACUUACCAACCCGAUGCAAACUGCGAAUACCGGAGAAUGUUAUCACGGGAGACACACGGCGGGUGCUAACGUCCGUCGUGAAGAGGGAAACAACCCAGACCGCCAGCUAAGGUCCCAAAGUCAUGGUUAAGUGGGAAACGAUGUGGGAAGGCCCAGACAGCCAGGAUGUUGGCUUAGAAGCAGCCAUCAUUUAAAGAAAGCGUAAUAGCUCACUGGUCGAGUCGGCCUGCGCGGAAGAUGUAACGGGGCUAAACCAUGCACCGAAGCUGCGGCAGCGACACUAUGUGUUGUUGGGUAGGGGAGCGUUCUGUAAGCCUGUGAAGGUGGCCUGUGAGGGUUGCUGGAGGUAUCAGAAGUGCGAAUGCUGACAUAAGUAACGAUAAAGCGGGUGAAAAGCCCGCUCGCCGGAAGACCAAGGGUUCCUGUCCAACGUUAAUCGGGGCAGGGUGAGUCGACCCCUAAGGCGAGGCCGAAAGGCGUAGUCGAUGGGAAACAGGUUAAUAUUCCUGUACUUGGUGUUACUGCGAAGGGGGGACGGAGAAGGCUAUGUUGGCCGGGCGACGGUUGUCCCGGUUUAAGCGUGUAGGCUGGUUUUCCAGGCAAAUCCGGAAAACC
RNAcentral lists this ribosomal RNA (1162 nucleotides) under Escherichia coli. RNAcentral's name for it is "partial 23S ribosomal RNA". It matches the Rfam family "Bacterial large subunit ribosomal RNA", at positions 381 to 1551 of the family's 2925-position model. The record is from RNAcentral. Lineage: Bacteria; Pseudomonadati; Pseudomonadota; Gammaproteobacteria; Enterobacterales; Enterobacteriaceae.